Molecule: ribosomal RNA, 573 nt
Filed under: fungal yeast sp. DY84
Lineage: Eukaryota; Fungi
Description: eukaryotic LSU rRNA
Rfam family: Eukaryotic large subunit ribosomal RNA
Source: RNAcentral
CAUAAGCGGAGGAAAAGAAACCAACAGGGAUUGCCUUACUAACGGCGAGUGAAGCGGCAAAAGCUCAAAUUUGAAAUCGGCCACCAGGUCGAGUUGUAAUUUGUAGAUUGUAUCUUGAGAGCGGAUUAAAGUCUGUUGGAACACAGCGCCUUAGAGGGUGACAGCCCCGUAAAAUCUAUUCUCAUUGUAAGAUACUUUCGAAGAGUCGAGUUGUUUGGGAAUGCAGCUCUAAGUGGGAGGUAAAUUCCUUCUAAAGCUAAAUAUUGACGAGAGACCGAUAGCGAACAAGUACUGUGAAGGAAAGAUGAAAAGCACUUUGAAAAGAGAGUGAAAAAGUACGUGAAAUUGUUAAAAGGGAAGGGUAUUGAAUCAGACUUGGUGCUGUUGUUCAACCAUGUUUCGGCAGGUGUACUCAGCAGUACUAGGCCAAGGUGGGGUGUUUGGGAGUGAAAAAGAAGUUGGAACGUAACUCUUCGGAGUGUUAUAGCCUACUUUCAUAGCUCCUCAGGCGCCUCAGGACUGCGCUUCGGCAAGGACCUUGGCAUAAUGAUUCUAUACCGCCCGUCUUGAAGG